UAUUACAUUCCUUAUCCUUCUUUAAGACGAGCAAGGUCUGAUUGGCAAUCUGUGAUAAAAAUUAAAGCCAGGGCAGUGAUUGAAUUACCAAAUGUUGUUGUACCAGCGACAGCGUCCACAAUAGAUGCAUUUCAAGAAGAUACUGUAACUUUGCAGCCUUUAGUCUUAAAUGAGGAAGGAUUACCUGAGACAUUAAAUGAUCCAGCGGGUGGUGAAGUGUUUAUUUCAGAAUUAGUUGAAGAAGAAGAAGAAGAUGAAGAGACAUAUCAUUAUUCAACUUCAGACAAUGACGAAUAUUACUUAGAUUAGUCAACUCUAAGCUGUA
RNAcentral lists this long non-coding RNA (325 nucleotides) under Manihot esculenta (cassava). Its description in RNAcentral is "long non-coding RNA (MESC_LNC007959)". Lineage: Eukaryota; Viridiplantae; Streptophyta; Magnoliopsida; Malpighiales; Euphorbiaceae. The record is from RNAcentral.